Long non-coding RNA from Bactrocera neohumeralis, 2277 nucleotides. RefSeq lists it as uncharacterized. The record is from RefSeq and is a predicted model, not a curated record. NCBI's taxonomy places the organism in Eukaryota, Metazoa, Arthropoda, Insecta, Diptera, Tephritidae. The transcript has 4 exons.
UGAACGAUAAUCGACAAAAAUCAGAAAUACAUUAAAAAAAAAAAUUAUAAUUCAUUAGUACUUUUCCCUAAAACUUUGGAUUACAUUUAUUUGCCUGUAACAUUUGAAGGUUUCGAUUUUUAAAUUAGGAUAUUUCGAUAAAAGCAUACAUAUAUUGGUUGUCAAAAAGUCUUGCGAUAUUUUCGCUAGUUGGCGCUGAAAGCGCGUAGUUCCAGUUUUAUUCGUCGCAUCGGGUCAUGCUAUACCUUUUUGGAAAGCCCAUUUCACGCGCUAAUACGUGUGUGAUUGACUGUCGUUUCUUUUAAGGCGUUCGUGAGUUAUAGCGUCGCAAACAUGGAGCAAAAUAAAGAGAAAAUACGGCAUAUUUUACAGUACUACUACGAUAAAGGCAAAAAUGCAUCUCAAGCCGCCAAUAAAAUUUGUGCAGUUUAUGGACCCGAUAUAGUUUCCAUUUCCACCGCACAACGAUGGUUUCAACGUUUUCGUUCUGGUGUAGAGUUGGUCGAAGAUGCGCCACGCUCCGGAAGGCCUGUCGUCGAAAAUUGCGAUAAAAUCGCUGAAUUGGUCGAAAGAGACCGGUAUAGUAGCAGCCGUAGCAUCGGUCAAGAGCGGGCAUGAGUCAUCAAAAAUUCAUUUCAAUUUCAAGUCGCCGUGGUACUCCAUUCUUCCGCUAGUGUAGGAAAAAGUUGGAUACCAAAGACCAUGAACACCCCGGUAUCAUAUCGACCUGGGUUAUAUUUUUCAACAUUCCCAUUAAGUACGAAUAUCGAGAGUAUCAAGUAACGAAUGAAAUUUUAUUCUGUAACAUAUUUCUCAAUUUUAUCAAUUCUGGUUUUGUAUCAAAUAUUGAAAGUUUGGAUAUUUCAAAACCCAUCACUGCUUGCAUCAAUAGUGCCCAAUUGAAUUUCAAACAGUGGUGUUAUGUAUAGCGUGUAUAUCGUGCAUAAUCGCAAAAUUUUUUUUUUGUUUUUUACUUCAAACAAUGUAGAGCGCAUAAUGAACUAGAUUUAAAAACAAAAAUUUCGAUCAAGAUAUUUCGCAACAACAUAAUUGUCUUAAGGCAAAAGGAAAAUCGCAAAAAGGGUAAUAAGAAAAAAAUAUUAAAAAAGCAAGUCUUCGCGCUCAUUAGAAAAACAUUGAAAAUCAUAGUAUAGCAUUGGAAAUAUCAGCAGUUUCAACAUAAGUUUUAUCAUAGAUAUUAUUAGAUAAUAAGUGUUUGCUUCAUGUUUUUAAUCGGCCUGUGCAGUGAAAUAUAAUAUGUGAAAACAAAUGUGUGUUUUAUGUGUUUAAAGAGGUCUGCGCAGUGGAAAAAUUAUGUGAAUACAAAUGUUUGUUUUAUUUUCCCAUUAUAUAGAACAAACAAAACUCUAUUAUUGUAUUCACAGUUUAUGAGAAUAUUCAUAUAUGGCAACUUUGCCUGAUAUUUGACAUUUAAACUGUGAGCGCACAAAGUUAGUUUUGUUGCAAAUUAAUGUUUAAUUUUUGUAUAAAAAUGUCUCAUUUAAAUGGAAAGUAAAAUAUCCAAAUUAUCAUUAUGUCAAUAUAACCGCUAAUGAUUCGAGUAUGUAUAUAUAUAAGUUAGCACCCCAUACAUUCAAAAUGUAUCAUAUGAUGCAUUAAUAUCAUAUGAUACAAAGUAAUAUCUAUAAUAUGACACCACUAAAUCGCAGAGAGUGCGACACGUGUAGUGGCAACCUGUGGGAGGUGCAGCGUCACCAAACUCCGUACCCGUUGCAGCGGCAAACAUAGGUCUAGAGUUAAGUAUAAUUAAUUGUAAAUUGUAGUUCUUGCACAGAAUUCAAUAAAGGAGCAUAGCUCCCAAUUAAAGGAGCAUUGCUCCCAAAAAAAGGGGCAUAGCUCCCGAAAAACAUUUUUUUUUAUUAAAACUAACUAAACGUUUUUUAACUGGCGCCCAAGCAGAGACCAGCGCGCUAUGGAAAGCUGGAAACACCUAGUAAUAUUACUACCGCUAUGCCUGGCGGAAGUACAGAUCCUCGACUACUCAAACUCACAAUUAAUAACAAUAGAAAAGGGAACGGCUAGACUACAAACAGAAACAUUUAGGAUAAUACAUGAAAUUGACAUAGAAAAAUAUACGGACACACUUGACUAGUACAUAGAAGCGACUAUCAAAACUGAAACUAUCCGCAAAAACCCCAAUUACCCCUUCAUAUCCCACUUGAUAACACAGAUAAGAGCCCAACUUAACAAUCUCAAAGUAGAACAAAAAAUAAAAAGAUCAAUAAAUUUCCUGGGUAGCGCAUGGAAAUGGAUUGC